CUUUCGAUAUCUCAGUUGGUAGAGCGGUGGACUGUAGUGUUGUAGUUUAAAAACGAAUAGAUAUCCAUAGGUCGCUGGUUCAAAUCAGGCUCGAAGGA
RNAcentral lists this transfer RNA (98 nucleotides) under Lucilia cuprina (Australian sheep blowfly). It matches the Rfam family "tRNA". From Rfam's summary of the family: Transfer RNA (tRNA) molecules are approximately 80 nucleotides in length. Their secondary structure includes four short double-helical elements and three loops (D, anti-codon, and T loops). Lineage: Eukaryota; Metazoa; Arthropoda; Insecta; Diptera; Calliphoridae. The record is from Rfam by way of RNAcentral.